GGGUCCGGGCGAAUAGUUCCCGGAGGUGCUUUUUUGAUGGUCGGGCCGCCAUCU
RNAcentral lists this non-coding RNA (54 nucleotides) under Candidatus Omnitrophota bacterium. RNAcentral describes it as "Omnitrophica bacterium Li+-I sequence". It matches the Rfam family "nhaA-I RNA". From Rfam's summary of the family: Acidobacteria, Alphaproteobacteria, Betaproteobacteria and Gammaproteobacteria, Verrucomicrobia, cand. division NC10. Downstream gene The record is from RNAcentral. Lineage: Bacteria; Pseudomonadati; Candidatus Omnitrophota.